Molecule: ribosomal RNA, 1372 nt
Filed under: uncultured bacterium
Lineage: Bacteria
Description: bacterial SSU rRNA
Rfam family: Bacterial small subunit ribosomal RNA
Source: RNAcentral
GAUGAACGCUGGCGGCGUGCCUAAUACAUGCAAGUCGAGCGAACGGACGAGAAGCUUGCUUUUCUGAUGUUAGCGGCGGACGGGUGAGUAACACGUGGAUAACCUACCUAUAAGACUGGGAUAACUUCGGGAAACCGGAGCUAAUACCGGAUAAUAUUUUGAACCGCAUGGUUCAAAAGUGAAAGACGGUCUUGCUGUCACUUAUAGAUGGAUCCGCGCCGCAUUAGCUAGUUGGUAAGGUAACGGCUUACCAAGGCGACGAUGCGUAGCCGACCUGAGAGGGUGAUCGGCCACACUGGAACUGAGACACGGUCCAGACUCCUACGGGAGGCAGCAGUAGGGAAUCUUCCGCAAUGGGCGAAAGCCUGACGGAGCAACGCCGCGUGAGUGAUGAAGGUCUUCGGAUCGUAAAACUCUGUUAUUAGGGAAGAACAAAUGUGUAAGUAACUAUGCACGUCUUGACGGUACCUAAUCAGAAAGCCACGGCUAACUACGUGCCAGCAGCCGCGGUAAUACGUAGGUGGCAAGCGUUAUCCGGAAUUAUUGGGCGUAAAGCGCGCGUAGGCGGUUUUUUAAGUCUGAUGUGAAAGCCCACGGCUCAACCGUGGAGGGUCAUUGGAAACUGGAAAACUUGAGUGCAGAAGAGGAAAGUGGAAUUCCAUGUGUAGCGGUGAAAUGCGCAGAGAUAUGGAGGAACACCAGUGGCGAAGGCGACUUUCUGGUCUGUAACUGACGCCGAUGUGCGAAAGCGUGGGGAUCAAACAGGAUUAGAUACCCUGGUAGUCCACGCCGUAAACGAUGAGUGCUAAGUGUUAGGGGGUUUCCGCCCCUUAGUGCUGCAGCUAACGCAUUAAGCACUCCGCCUGGGGAGUACGACCGCAAGGUUGAAACUCAAAGGAAUUGACGGGGACCCGCACAAGCGGUGGAGCAUGUGGUUUAAUUCGAAGCAACGCGAAGAACCUUACCAAAUCUUGACAUCCUUUGACAACUCUAGAGAUAGAGCCUUCCCCUUCGGGGGACAAAGUGACAGGUGGUGCAUGGUUGUCGUCAGCUCGUGUCGUGAGAUGUUGGGUUAAGUCCCGCAACGAGCGCAACCCUUAAGCUUAGUUGCCAUCAUUAAGUUGGGCACUCUAAGUUGACUGCCGGUGACAAACCGGAGGAAGGUGGGGAUGACGUCAAAUCAUCAUGCCCCUUAUGAUUUGGGCUACACACGUGCUACAAUGGACAAUACAAAGGGCAGCGAAACCGCGAGGUCAAGCAAAUCCCAUAAAGUUGUUCUCAGUUCGGAUUGUAGUCUGCAACUCGACUACAUGAAGCUGGAAUCGCUAGUAAUCGUAGAUCAGCAUGCUACGGUGAAUACGUUCCCGGGUCU